CUAUAAUGCAGUCGAGCGAACGGACGAGAGUGCUUGCACUCUCCGAGGUUAGCGGCGGACGGGUGAGUAACACGUGGGUAACCUACCUAUAAGACUGGGAUAACUUCGGGAAACCGGAGCUAAUACCGGAUAAUAUUUAGCUUCGCAUGAAGCAAUAGUGAAAGACGGUUCUACUGUCACUUAUAGAUGGACCCGCGGUGUAUUAGCUAGUUGGUGAGGUAACGGCUCACCAAGGCAACGAUACAUAGCCGACCUGAGAGGGUGAUCGGCCACACUGGGACUGAGACACGGCCCAGACUCCUACGGGAGGCAGCAGUAGGGAAUCUUCCGCAAUGGACGAAAGUCUGACGGAGCAACGCCGCGUGAGUGAAGAAGGUUUUCGGAUCGUAAAACUCUGUUGUAAGGGAAGAACAAGUACGUUAGUAACUGAACGUACCUUGACGGUACCUUACCAGAAAGCCACGGCUAACUACGUGCCAGCAGCCGCGGUAAUACGUAGGUGGCAAGCGUUAUCCGGAAUUAUUGGGCGUAAAGCGCGCGUAGGCGGUCUCUUAAGCCUGAUGUGAAAGCCCCCGGCUCAACCGGGGAGGGUCAUUGGAAACUGGGAGACUUGAGUGCAGAAGAGGAGAGUGGAAUUCCAUGUGUAGCGGUGAAAUGCGCAGAGAUAUGGAGGAACACCAGUGGCGAAGGCGGCUCUCUGGUCUGUAACUGACGCUGAGGUGCGAAAGCGUGGGGAUCAAACAGGAUUAGAUACCCUGGUAGUCCACGCCGUAAACGAUGAGUGCUAAGUGUUG
RNAcentral lists this ribosomal RNA (794 nucleotides) under uncultured Macrococcus sp. RNAcentral's name for it is "bacterial SSU rRNA". It matches the Rfam family "Bacterial small subunit ribosomal RNA", at positions 51 to 825 of the family's 1533-position model. The record is from RNAcentral. Lineage: Bacteria; Bacillati; Bacillota; Bacilli; Caryophanales; Staphylococcaceae.